UACGAAGGGGGCUAGCGUUGCUCGGAAUUACUGGGCGUAAAGGGCGCGUAGGCGGCACUGUUAGUCAGGCGUGAAAGUCCUGGGCUCAACCUGGGAACUGCGCUUGAUACGGCAGAGCUAGAGGACUGGAGAGGAGACUGGAAUUCAUGGUGUAGCAGUGAAAUGCGUAGAGAUCAUGAGGAAGACCAGUGGCGAAGGCGGGUCUCUGGACAGUUCCUGACACUGAGGCACGAAGGCCAGGGGAGCAAACGGG
This 253-nucleotide ribosomal RNA is filed under the name uncultured bacterium. RNAcentral describes it as "partial 16S ribosomal RNA". It matches the Rfam family "Bacterial small subunit ribosomal RNA", at positions 524 to 776 of the family's 1533-position model. The record is from RNAcentral.